GAUGAAGAACGCAGCGAAAUGCGAUAAGUAAUGUGAAUUGCAGAAUUCAGUGAAUCAUCGAAUCUUUGAACGCACCUUGCACUCCUUGGUAUUCCGAGGAGUACGCCUGUUCGAGUGUUAUGAAGCUCUCAAAACGCAAAUGGCUUAAAACCUGAUUGUUGUUUUGGAUUUGAACUUUGCCGUGUUAUAACGGCUGGUUUUAAAAGUAUUAGCUGGUACUAGAACGAAUUGGUUCUACUCAACGUGAUAAUUAUCUGAUCGUUGAGGACAUUCCUUUCACGAGGAAUGGCCAUAGUAAAUUCAAUGGACUGCUUCUAAUCUGGCUUUAAUUCUUUAUUGGAUUAACCACUUUUCAAAUCUGACCUCGAAUCAGGUGGGACUACCCGCUGAACUUAAGCAUAUCAAUAAGCGGAGGA
This 416-nucleotide unclassified non-coding RNA is filed under the name soil metagenome. RNAcentral describes it as "partial contains 5.8S ribosomal RNA, internal transcribed spacer 2, and large subunit ribosomal RNA". The stretch from base 1 to 120 matches the Rfam family "5.8S ribosomal RNA", at positions 35 to 154 of the family's 154-position model. The record is from RNAcentral.